UUUUACUUGCACGGUUAUGUUUUGUGAAAUUAGGGUUUUUACGGAUCGUUCUUCGGGAGGAUUUGAGGGGAAUUAGGAUUUCAGAUUGGUUAAAAUUUUUGUGGGUGUAAAGGCAAUCUAGGUAAUAAUCGGAAUAUGAAGCAUUGCGACAUUUGGGUUAACAAUGGGAAGCAGUUCACAAGCUUCUGAUGACAUUUUCAGGAAUUGAAGAGUGAUUAAUUGCAGUGAUUAAUUACAGGAAUUGAAGAGUGAUACACGUAUCAUUCUGUACAAUAGAUGGUUUUGUGUUGAAAGUGGAAGUACUGAUAAUCCUUCAGUCGUGCUCAUUCAUGGUUUCCCAUCACAGGCUUACUCAUAUCGCAAAGUUAUUCCAAUACUUUCCAAGAACUAUCAUGUCAUUGCUUUUGAUUGGUUAGUCUACUAUUUCCAUAUUGCUAUCGGUUCUGCAAAUGCUGGAUUUUGCCGAGCUUGAGUCAAAUGGAAUUGUCUCGUUGAAUUGAAUGAAUUUAUGCUAGGAGGUGUAGCAAGAAAUAUUGCUGAGUGCCUGUUAAAGCUAGGAACAAAAUCAUUCAUGAUCAGUGCUCUGGGAUGUGACCUGCCAGAUUCAAGGAUCACAAGCAUUGCUCGUGGUUGUCCCGGCCUUGAAAUGAUUAGCAUAUCAUACCGAUGAAGAUGCAAGGUUUCAAUGAGGCUAUUUUUGUUUUUAGUGUGAUGCAAAGCAAGAACAAAAAUAAGGCUAUAUGGAGUUGUAUAUAUUUCUUGUAAUUGUACAACUUUUUGAUAUAUAUGUAAAAAUGUUGGAUUUAUGUUCACGAUAGACCAUGAACGUAUUUGUAGAAGAUUUUGGUGAAAUAUUAAUAGUUGGUGCUUUAUUAAA
This is a long non-coding RNA of Spinacia oleracea (spinach), 877 nucleotides long. RefSeq lists it as uncharacterized. The transcript has 6 exons. The record is from RefSeq and is a predicted model, not a curated record. NCBI's taxonomy places the organism in Eukaryota, Viridiplantae, Streptophyta, Magnoliopsida, Caryophyllales, Amaranthaceae.